GGUCAUGUGCCCUAGUGGUCAUGGCAUCUGCCCGGUAAGCGGGAGGUCGUGGGUUCGAUUCCCGUCCCUUGACACU
This 76-nucleotide transfer RNA is filed under the name Cordylochernes scorpioides. RNAcentral's name for it is "tRNA-Thr". The record is from RNAcentral. Lineage: Eukaryota; Metazoa; Arthropoda; Arachnida; Pseudoscorpiones; Chernetidae.